GACGAACGCUGGCGGCGUGCCUAAUACAUGCAAGUAGGACGCAGUUGCGAACGGGUGAGUAACGCGUAGGUAACUGCCUCUUAGAGGGGGAUAACUAUUGGAAACGAUAGCUAAUACCGCAUACUAGUAGAUGGACCUGCGUUGUAUUAGCUAGUAGGUCGGGUAAUGGCCUACCUAGGCAACGAUACAUAGCCGACCGUGGGGGGUGAUCGGCCAACCUGGGGCUGAGACACGGCCCAGACUCCUACGGGAGGCAGCAGUAGGGAAUCUUCGGCAAUGGGGGGAACCCUUACCGAGCAACGCCGCAGGAGUGAAAAAAGUUUUCGGAUCGUAAAGCUCUGUUGUUAAGGGAGCGGUACUUAACCAGAAAGGGACGGCUAACUACGUGCCAGCAGCCGCGGUAAUAC
RNAcentral lists this ribosomal RNA (407 nucleotides) under uncultured bacterium. Its description in RNAcentral is "partial 16S ribosomal RNA". It matches the Rfam family "Bacterial small subunit ribosomal RNA", at positions 28 to 526 of the family's 1533-position model. The record is from RNAcentral.